UGUAAAAUCUUAGUGGCGGACGGGUGAGUAACGCGUGGGUAACCUGCCUUACACUGGGGGAUAACACUUAGAAAUAGGUGCUAAUACCGCAUAACAGGAGAAGACGCAUGUCUUAUCCUUGAAAACUCCGGUGGUGUAAGAUGGACCCGCGUCUGAUUAGCUUGUUGGCGGGGUAACGGCCCACCAAGGCGACGAUCAGUAGCCGGCCUGAGAGGGUGAACGGCCACAUUGGGACUGAGACACGGCCCAAACUCCUACGGAAGGCAGCAG
RNAcentral lists this ribosomal RNA (270 nucleotides) under uncultured bacterium. RNAcentral's name for it is "partial 16S ribosomal RNA". It matches the Rfam family "Bacterial small subunit ribosomal RNA", at positions 83 to 354 of the family's 1533-position model. The record is from RNAcentral.